UAAAGUUUGACUUUUUGCACACUAAUGCCUAAAAGGACUUUUUUAAACGUCUGAGAAUUUACCGUAUUUUCAUGGGACAGCCGACCGAUGUAUGUCAUUUUGCUAGACAAAAAUUACAAUACAGUGGGGCCAAAUGAUUUUCAGGCACUAGUGCGUAAUUUAAUUACGCAUUGUAAGUUUAUUUGAAAUUCUCUCUAUAAUUUGUCAAAAAAUUUGACGUUUUCUUACGGACUAAUGCGUAAUAACUAUUUAUGUAUCAAGGGCAUUGUAAGGACGAUAAUGCCCGGAAGGUGGACAUAGGAAUAGGUUUCCGCCUGAUGGGCAUUAGAGUCUAACAAUGUCCGUGGUGCAUACAAUCCUAUCCAUCUAAUCCAAUGUUUUACCUGAGAAAUUAUGUUUAUGAACAAAAAUCAUUUUAAUAUUAAUUAAAAAAUCAAGUGACUUGCAGUGAUUAUUUAAGUUUGACUUUGAUGUUUCUGUCAGUUAGUCAGUUGGCAUUUUUUGUUUAAAUAUUUGCUUAAAAUGGAAGAAAUUCUACAAAAUAUAAGAGAAAAGGCCAUAAAAGUGACCGAAAAUCUUUUGCCAGUUAAAUCAAGGCAACAGUAUGACCGGGAGUAUGGCAUAUUUGGUAUUUGGAAAGAUGCCAACGCAAUUGUUCAAAUAACCGAAACCGUUCUAAUGGCAUAUUUUCAGGAACUGUCGGAAAAAUAGAGUCCGAACUCUCUCUGGACCAAGUAUUCUACCCUAAGGUCUACGUUAAUGGUCUAUAAAAAUAUAGACAUCUCGCAAUACCAUCGUCUCAUAUCUUUUUUAAAAGUUAAGUCGAAAGGAUAUAUCCCGAAGAAAUCUAAAGUUUUGGAAGGAGAACAAAUAAUAAAAUUUAUUAAGAAGGCUCCUGAUGAUAUCUACGUGGUACACAAAGUCAUAUUGGUAAUGGGUGUUUUUGGAGGUUUAAGACGAGAUGAGUUGGUCAAAAUGACCAUUGAUGAUAUUGAAGAUAGAGGAACGGUCUUGGUUAUAAAGGUACCAGAAACUAAAACUUCAACUUCAAAAAGUUUUACUAUCGUAGCUGAAGGAUAUAUAGAAGAAGGUAUUUCAUCCAAAAAUAAAGUAGCCAAAAUGAUUGCCAAUUCAGUUAAUUCCGAGGUUAAUUCCGUAUCGACUAUUGAAAAUUCUUUAAUGGACAAUUUACAAACUAUACAAAAUAGCGUUAGUGCUGCCACCUCUACCAUCACAAAAAACACCGACCAUUCUAUAGUGGGAUCAGCUACAUCAUCCGGGACAUUUCAAAAUUGUAAUUUUUAUUUUGGAAAUAAAGUUUAAUUUUUAGUA
Anthonomus grandis grandis is the source of this 1332-nucleotide long non-coding RNA. RefSeq lists it as uncharacterized. Lineage: Eukaryota; Metazoa; Arthropoda; Insecta; Coleoptera; Curculionidae. The transcript is spliced from 2 exons. The record is from RefSeq and is a predicted model, not a curated record.